GUCUCUAAUGAUGAUCUAAAAUAUAACUUUCGUUCUUCCGAGAUUAGCCAUGCGGAAAAGUUAUGGAGACCUGAACUGAAGAGAC
Molecule: small nucleolar RNA, 85 nt
Filed under: Solanum tuberosum (potato)
Lineage: Eukaryota; Viridiplantae; Streptophyta; Magnoliopsida; Solanales; Solanaceae
Description: snoRNA snoZ159
Rfam family: Small nucleolar RNA Z159/U59
About the family: This family consists of several snoRNA Z159 or U59 sequences which are members of the C/D class of snoRNA which contain the C (UGAUGA) and D (CUGA) box motifs. This family seems to be found exclusively in rice.
Source: Rfam by way of RNAcentral